UACGGGGGGGGCUAGCGUUGUUCGGAAUUACUGGGCGUAAAGGGCGCGUAGGCGGCCUACUAAGUCGGACGUGAAAUCCCUCGGCUCAACCGGGGAACUGCGUCCGAUACUGGUGGGCUCGAAUCCGGGAGAGGGAUGUGGAAUUCCGGGUGUAGCGGUGGAAUGCGUAGAGAUCCGGAAGAACACCGGUGGCGAAGGCGGUCUGCUGGGCAGUUGCUGACACUGAUGCGCGACAGCGUGGGGAGCAAACAGG
Molecule: ribosomal RNA, 253 nt
Filed under: uncultured bacterium
Lineage: Bacteria
Description: partial 16S ribosomal RNA
Rfam family: Bacterial small subunit ribosomal RNA
Source: RNAcentral